This 71-nucleotide microRNA precursor is filed under the name Petromyzon marinus (sea lamprey). RNAcentral's name for it is "miRNA (ENSPMAG00000010572.1)". Lineage: Eukaryota; Metazoa; Chordata; Hyperoartia; Petromyzontiformes; Petromyzontidae. The record is from RNAcentral.
GUCAGUCAAUCGGUCGGUCAAUCGGUCGGUCGGUCGGUCAAUCGGUCGGUCAAUCGGUCGGUCGGUCGGUC